Cyprinodon tularosa is the source of this 261-nucleotide long non-coding RNA. RefSeq lists it as uncharacterized. NCBI's taxonomy places the organism in Eukaryota, Metazoa, Chordata, Actinopteri, Cyprinodontiformes, Cyprinodontidae. The transcript has 3 exons. The record is from RefSeq and is a predicted model, not a curated record.
UAGCGUCGUUGCGAGCACGAGGAGACCUGGAAGAUUUAAGGCCAAACAAGAAAACCAGACAACCAUCUCUUUUAAGAUUCUGGUCCAAUCCAACAGAAGGUGGACCUUGCACAACUACAGAAAAUGACCACAGCGUUGACCAGUAUGAACGUUCAGAUAUUGGAGACACACAGAUAAAAGAUGAACAACAAGGACCGUGUUUCGAUGUAAAGACAACCGAAGAGCCGGCGCUCAACCAAGCGGACUUGCCCCAAACAACUU